This 69-nucleotide transfer RNA is filed under the name Ictidomys tridecemlineatus (thirteen-lined ground squirrel). RNAcentral's name for it is "Spermophilus tridecemlineatus (thirteen-lined ground squirrel) tRNA". It matches the Rfam family "tRNA". Rfam says of the family: Transfer RNA (tRNA) molecules are approximately 80 nucleotides in length. Their secondary structure includes four short double-helical elements and three loops (D, anti-codon, and T loops). Further hydrogen bonds mediate the characteristic L-shaped molecular structure. tRNAs have two regions of fundamental functional importance: the anti-codon, which is responsible for specific mRNA codon recognition, and the 3' end, to which the tRNAs corresponding amino acid is attached (by aminoacyl-tRNA synthetases). tRNAs cope with the degeneracy of the genetic code in two manners: having more than one tRNA (with a specific anti-codon) for a particular amino acid; and 'wobble' base-pairing, i.e. permitting non-standard base-pairing at the 3rd anti-codon position. Lineage: Eukaryota; Metazoa; Chordata; Mammalia; Rodentia; Sciuridae. The record is from Rfam by way of RNAcentral.
GGGGCUGUAGCUCAGUGGUAGAGCGCUUGCCUAGCAUGUGUGAGGCACUAGGUUCAAUCCUCAGCACCA